CUUGGAGAUCGCCCAUCCGUGAUAUCUUAUUCUUACUUGACCAAAGACUGGAACAAAAUGAAGUGUAAGACUAAGAAGAUUGUGAUGAAAGUACCUAUGAAUUGCCAGAAAUGCCAACAGAAGGCGUUCAAAAUUGUUGCCGAAGCAGAUGGUGUGAGCUUUUUGGGAUUAGGAGAGGGGAGAGACAUAGUGGUGGUGAUUGGGCAAGGAGUAGACGCCUGCAACUUGGCUAAGAGCUUAAGG
Prunus avium (sweet cherry) is the source of this 243-nucleotide non-coding RNA. NCBI's taxonomy places the organism in Eukaryota, Viridiplantae, Streptophyta, Magnoliopsida, Rosales, Rosaceae. The record is from RefSeq and is a predicted model, not a curated record.